CAGUCGCCGCGGUAAAACGUAGGUGGCAAGCGUUGUCCGGAAUUAUUGGGCGUAAAGGGCUCGCAGGCGGUUUCUUAAGACUGAUGUGAAAGCCCCCGGCUCAACCGGGGAGGGUCAUUGGAAACUGGGAAACUUGAGUGCAGAAGAGGAGAGUGGAACUCUACGUGUAGCGGUGAAAUGCGUAGAGAUGUGGAGGAACACCAGUGGCGAAGGCGACUCUCUGGUCUGUAACUGACGCUGAGGAGCGAAAACGUGGGGAGCGAACAGGAUUAGAUACCCGCGUAGUCCCUGUCUCUUAUAC
This 301-nucleotide ribosomal RNA is filed under the name uncultured bacterium. RNAcentral's name for it is "partial 16S ribosomal RNA". It matches the Rfam family "Bacterial small subunit ribosomal RNA", at positions 509 to 807 of the family's 1533-position model. The record is from RNAcentral.